ACAACAACAAGUUGUUUGUCCCACAUCAUGCUGGGGUGGCUGGGAGGGGAUAGGGUGAGACAGGGAGCAGCCACUCCACUGAAGACCAGGCCAUGCAGAGGGGAUGAGAAGGGCAGCGUUACCUCCCGAGAGGCUACUCCAAGGAGAGCGGCUCGGGGUCACUGUUUCCCCCUUUUCAGGCUGGCCCGCUUCACUAUCUGCGCCCCCUUCCUGCCCUCUAUCAGGUCCGGCUGUAGGCCACUCCCUCUCAGCUCCACCUGCAGACAGCAGCAGAGACAGAAAGCAGGACAGAUCGCAAAGACGGGCAGAACACAGGCAGAAGAUCGAAAGGAGGCCACACGGAGGUGGCAGACACACUGCCCACCAGGGAGAAGAGAGACUGGAGAGAGAGCUCAUAAAGAGCACUUUGCAGUAUAGAAAAGCCCUUCGACAGGCAGCAUCACCCAGAAUGUGACUUGCUUGAAACCCCAGAGCCAGUUGGUGACAGAAACAGGACGAUCCGGGUGCAAUCCCAUGGUGGCUCACGCCUGCUAUCCCAGCACUUUGGGAGGCCAAGGCCGGAGG
Homo sapiens (human) is the source of this 564-nucleotide long non-coding RNA. The record is from Ensembl. Lineage: Eukaryota; Metazoa; Chordata; Mammalia; Primates; Hominidae.